This 216-nucleotide ribosomal RNA is filed under the name uncultured prokaryote. RNAcentral describes it as "partial 16S ribosomal RNA". It matches the Rfam family "Bacterial small subunit ribosomal RNA", at positions 524 to 739 of the family's 1533-position model. The record is from RNAcentral.
UACGAAGGGGACUAGCGUUGUUCGGAAUUACUGGGCGUAAAGGGCGCGUAGGCGGUUUUGUGCGUUAGAUGUGAAAGACCUGGGCUUAACCUGGGAAGUGCAUUUAAUACGGCAAAGCUAGAGGACGAGAGAGGAAAGUGGAAUGAUGCAUGUAGAGGUUAAAUUCGUAGAUAUGCAUUGGAACACCAGUGGCGAAGGCGACUUUCUGGCUCGUAA